Long non-coding RNA from Papaver somniferum (opium poppy), 830 nucleotides. RefSeq lists it as uncharacterized. Lineage: Eukaryota; Viridiplantae; Streptophyta; Magnoliopsida; Ranunculales; Papaveraceae. The record is from RefSeq and is a predicted model, not a curated record. The transcript is spliced from 2 exons.
ACCCUUUUUCUUGCGCUCGGUUCUUAAUCUUCUUCUCCAUCUAGGAUUUACAUAUCCAGAGAAAACCUCAAUUGAAACCUCCGUCGCUACCACCAUCAGCACCAACACCAAUGUUGUAACCACCAUCACCAUCACCACCUCCGACACCACAAUCACCGACGGGGAGGUGAUGGUUGUGGCUUUUUGUUAUAGUAUUAGGGGUGGUGGUAGUGGUGAUAGCAGCAUUGAUGUUGUUGUUUAUUGUAGAGGUGGUGACAGCGAUGGCUUAAUUUUAUUGUUUCAUCUCCUUUUAAGGAAAAACUAAUUUGAUUCAUUCCGCUACAUCGUUUUGUAAGUUUUUAUUUGCUAGUCCGCAAGCUAGAUGUUGUUCAUAUUGGUUCUUAUACUACAUAUAAGCCUUAGCGAUAAAGAUUAUAAGGUUGUAAAUUGAUCUUAUGUGACUGUUAUAUAUUGUUAUGUAUUAAUAAGCUGAAUUUAUUAAUUUGCAGUAUCGUUUUAGUAUGUAUUGUUGAGUUUCUCUGUUUACAAUAAUAUUGUUGAGAAGAGAUUAUUAUUGACCAAAAAUGGAUGGUAGUGGACGUAGAGGGGGUAGGGGAUGCUGGUGUCAGUGGUGGGGGUAAUGUUGAUGUCUAUGAACUCCAAGCAUUUUUUGAUAGGAUGAUGUUUCAACUCUUCACCGCUACGCUCUGAUCAUAAAUGCUUUAUAUGUAGCUUGUUUUGUUACUCUUUUGGUUGUAGAAUGCUAAUUAUCCCACAACAAGAAGUUGCAUGUACUGAAUUUUUUGGUUUCUCCCAGUUAAAUAAAUGUUGUAAGAUCCAUUUUGUUUUGA